CUUUUCUAGUUAGAAAAAGCUAAACAUUGUGCGACUUACGCCCAAAACCCCCUUCUAAGGGGAUUCUCACCUUAACUUGUCUUCCGUGGUCAGUGUUUCCCGCCCCUGAAUCUGGGUUACUGUCACUAUGGCUUUCAAUUGGCCCGGCUUAGGCGCAUGCUCUGCGCGUAUUGGCCUCCGCUCCUGUCCCCAGACAAGCGGCCAUCUUGGGUCCCGCCCCUACCGUGGGGUCUUCUGGGAAUUGCAGUCCCCGCUCCGCUCUGUCCUGUCACAGGACUUUUUGCCCUCUGUUCCUGGGUCCCUCAGGCGGCCACCCAGUGGGCACACUCCCAGGCGGCGCUCCGGCCCCGCGCUCCCUCCCUCUGCCUUUCAUUCCCAGCUGCCAACAUCCUGGAAGCUUUGAAGCUCAGCAAAGAAGAGAAAUCCAUUGAGAACGGUCUGUAAAGAAAAUAGGAAUGAUUGACCAAAAUAUCUCCUUAAAUGUUGCCUCCUACCUCCAGCAUGAUCAUGAGCCUCCAAAUUAAAGAUGCAGGUAAGUUUUCAAUCAGAU
This 550-nucleotide long non-coding RNA is filed under the name Rhinopithecus bieti (black snub-nosed monkey). RNAcentral describes it as "lncRNA (ENSRBIG00000046333.1)". The record is from RNAcentral. Lineage: Eukaryota; Metazoa; Chordata; Mammalia; Primates; Cercopithecidae.